GCUGCGAUUUGCUUUGUGAAGCAGUGGAGCAUUUGGCUCACCGGGGGAUCUGUACACAGCACACACACACACACACACACACACACACACACUCUCACACACACAUUUUCACAGCGAAUGUGGGGGUUUUCAGAGAAAUCAGGCACAAAGGCACUUACAGGAUACAUGCAUAGGUACAUUUCAUUUCUAGCCUUUUAACCCAACUCUGUCUCCUACCUCCAACUGUGCAGUAAAAAUAUUUCAAAAACAUGAAAAUACUUCCAAUACCAAUACAACAACAACAACAACAACAACCAAAUGUGCAGGUUACAGACAAGCAGUGGCGAUGACCUCAUCCUGGCCUUCCCAGAAACCUCACCUCUGAUUACAUAAGGGUGACUGCUAGUGACACCUAAUCUACCAGGCCUUAGCUGAACUAACCAACAACCUCUCAAUAAUGCACGAGAGGUCAAUGCGUUGUGAGUGUGCGUGACUCUGAGGAGUGCCAAGUAGAAGGGACCAACAACCGUGUCAAUGUCAGGCACCUUUUGCUUUUCAGUCGUCAAAAUUCAUCAGAGACCAGGCCAUUUAUGGAUUUCUCUAGACCAGAAAUCAGUUAAGAGGGACUGAGGAAAAGUGAAUCUUCUUGUGGUCUAACAAAUGGAAAUUUGACAUUCUUUGGGGAAAUUACGGACAUUGCGCUUUCAGUUUUUAAGAGUAAGGAGACAGUCUUGCAUGUUAAAGGUUAUGUGCUUCAAAAUAGGUGCGUAUGUGCCAAUGGACUGGCAGGUUUACACAUCAUGGAAGUUAACACCAAUGCUGGUUAAUAUGCACAGGUUUUGUAGCAAUGUAAGCUGCCAAAAUACAUUUUGCACAUAUUACAACAGGAUGUCUUUGUAACACAAGAGUCUAGGUGCUAAACUGGUGUGCCUGCUGUCCCAACUUGUCAUCUCUUGAAAACAUGUGUUGCAUCAUGACCCCCAAAAAAAUCAAAGAGGAUAUCCUGAGUUGUUGAUCAGCUAAAAUUAUUAUCAGGCAUUAAAGUUGUGUUCUUGCCAGUGAAGUCUUUGUUGAUGACAUUAAGAAGGAGAUAGUUUAGAUCUGCAGUUUGUGUAAAGAGUCCAGAGACAGUACUUCAAAUGUUUUGUCACUAAAUAAUCAAAGUGAGUACAAAGUCGAAUGGGCAGUGGGUAAAUCUAGCAGCAGAAACUCAUAUUCCCCUGUGUAUUUUCAGUUUGUAUUGAUUGCAACCACAGUGAUUUUAACCAUGAGCCUUGGAGAAAGGAAGAAAGAACCAAGAUUUCCUCUGCAAACUUUCACCAAAGAAAAAAUGUGAGCAAAUAGAUGUCACAACAUAAUAAUCUUGAAGAAGCACAUUUAUAUUUCUGUGGAUUCAAUAUGAUGAAAGAAUUUUGUUUUUCUCUUUCAUUUUUUCAUAUGACAUGAUCAUCUUCGAAAUAAAACUACAUGUGGGAUUUGAAAGGUUUUGGUAUCAGUGAGUGGACUCCAGACUGCCAUUUAACCAUGUGUACUGAUGACCAAUAUAAAUCAAGUAUACAUAUUUUAUUUGCUUUAUCCUUCAGUUUUGUCAUUUGUAUCAUAAAUGUAUAGAUUUUUAAAUUUAUAUCACAAAUAUGCAUGUUUUAAGGCUUUAAUGAACCCAUUAAUGCCCUACUGUCUCAGAUAUAAACAUCUAAACUCUCAAACUAAAGACUUUCAACUCUUUCAGGUCAACCUCUACAUUUUUAUUACAUCUCUUCACGAGAUGGCUUUGAUUUGUUUUUUCUGAGUUGAUUUUCUGCUUUUAUCUUGUUCCACACAGUGACUGAGCAAAAAAAAAAUUCUCCUCACUUGGUUUUCUUAUUCUCUGCUCUUACUCUCUCCUGUCCCUGUACCACACCCCUCCUCCACCACCACAAGGGGUUAAUUAAAACUGAUUGGGUCCUGGGAGGCCACACCUGCUUCUGACAGGUAAGGUAUCAGGCUUAUGUGAGCUGUGUGUAUUGGUGUAUGUGUGUGUGUGUGACUCUGUGGAUAUGUGCUAAGCACAUCAGUCUGUUAGCAUAUCAUGUGCUCUGCUGCUCUGGGUUGAAGCAGUCCCGUUAUAACAUCAUGAUGGCGCUCAGAGUGUGUGCCUCUGUUAGUUUUUAUAUUUCCCUGUAGUCUCCAGUAUUUAACUGCAUUUGCAUGAGAUUUGUAUCUGUAAAGAUAUAUGCAUUACAUUUGUGUGCCUCAUCUUUUCAGAGCCACUUAAGGCGCUCAUGCUUGAUGUGCUGAUUAGACUUCUCGCUGGAACCAAUCGCUGCUCGGCUUUGACUUCACGCUUGCCCGCCUGUCGGUCAUGAUGAGAGCCACUGGAGGAGGAGACUUAUAUGCUGUUUAACCCUCAGAUGAUUAUCUUCACUAUCACUGAGAGAAUAUGCGGGAGGUAAAGUAUCAUCAGUUCAAGGAUCAUGGCAGCUAACAUGAAUGCUGAUAGAGCAAAAGCAUGCACACAUAGUUCGUGUAAUCGAAUGCACAAAGGAGACAGUGAUUAAACAAAUGUGAUGGCCCACAUUAGGGCUGUGGUUUUAUCUGUGUGUGUGCAUAUUUGCUGGCAAGUCAGGUGUUUGUGUGUAGAGGCAAGAACUAGUGUUGUAUAACAGCAGCUGGCAGGGGAGAUGUGCAACACACACACACACACACACACACACACACACACACACACACACACACACACACACACACACACACACACUGAGCUCCUGCUGCUUGGUUGGCAAGUAGAACAGUCAAAUUAGCCACUGGAGAACAAACCGAUCCAAGAACUCUGCUGGGAAAAGGUGAAGGGAAAAAAAGUAAGGGGAGAAAGAAAUAGAGGAGCUAAGAUGAUGAAGAAGAAGGAGAUGGAGAGAGGAAGAACAGAGCGGACGUGACAGAGAGGAAGAAGAUGAGAGGCAGCGCCGUGGGGGGAAGGUACGGCUGAGAGUUGUAAAUGAGUUGGAGAAAAUAAGAGCAGGGGAGCAAUGAAGGAGGUUAUAGAGGUAAUUGAGAGAAGGAUAGAGACCAAGGCUGGAAGGAAAAUGAGCCAGAAUGAGCGAGGAAAUAGAAGAAGAGAUGGUGUAACAAGAGGAUAUGACACGAUGGGUAGAUAGACACGGGGGAAAGGGCGCAAAUUUACCUGAGGUAAAGAGUGGGAUAUUUUAGGACUACAGACUCUCACCAUGUAGAUAUACCAAAAGUAACCGCACACUUUGAUUUUAGAAACAGGUCUCAGAAAAUCUCUACAUUUUAACGCUGCGAUAAUGUAAGAUAAAGAACAAGGGUGAAAGUAAACAUGUUGUUCCCAGUGGUGCAGUGAGCCCUUCAUGGCCAAUUAGAGGCCCGACAAAAUGUAACUUUGGUGUGCCCUGAAACUACUGUAGCAGUGACUGGCAUAACCUGUCAAAAUGCAGUCUGAAAUCACAGUGGCACAUGUAUGACCUGAAGCACAGAAUCAAAAACAAUAAUAUCAAACACAAGAAUGCCUUUUCUUUCUACACUUCAACUGAGCCAUUACAGCAGAGAGUGGGGAUGCUGACAGUCUGAUUUUAUGAUCAGACACAACACGAGAGCAAACUGCAAAGAGCUGUGGAACAUGAUGGGCCCAUUAAGAGUUGGAAUUUUCAAUUAUUUAGUAAAAUAAAAUAAAGGAAGAAAGAAAGAAAGAAACAUUCUGGGCCAAAUCGCACUUGAAUUUUAUUGAUGCAAAGUUUUUAAAUCGUUUUAUGUGGAUCUAUUGAAUGAAAGCAAAUUUGCCUGCUUUACAUUGAUGCAAUGCUUGAACUUAGUCCUUUAUAUGUCUUCCAUUGUAUUCCCUGUCUUGAGUCAAUUCAGCUGAAUAGUCUGUUAAGCACACACACUUUACAGAUACUAUUUCUAAUGUUGUUUGCAAGGUUUGCAACUAGUUUAAUGCUCAAGCGAACAGAUGAUUGAAAAAAAAAUCAAAACUCAAGAGAUACAUCUCUAACUCUAUUCAUUCAUUCUGGUUUGUACGAUAGAAAAUGUGAGUAAGUGCUGUUUCAGUGGUUCCUUUGCACUUUCUUUAUCAUAAAUGUGCGUGGGAGGUAGAAGCAUUGAAUACUGGUCACUGAAUAGAAAGCCAAGCAUACAUUUUCUGUCACUGAGUUGUGGUCUCGCAAAUAAAUUGAAUCUGAAUGCAAAAUGUGAACAGUCAAGGAUGGACGGUUCUGAAUGAAGAGAGACAAGAUCUAAUUGUGCGGGACCUGCCUCCUUAACAUGACACAGAAGUCAUUUGACUCCAUGAAAAUGCAAGGUUUCUGUCCCUCUGUUUCUGGAUCAAAGUUCUCCAUACAUGGUUAGACACUUUGUAAAACUCUUAGCGAUGACAUAGCAAAAGAAAUCGACUCUUUCUGCCUUUUUUUUUUCUGUGGCUUUUUUGUAGUUGGGUUCACAGACCUUCACCUUGGCCUAAGACAGAAAAGAAGUCAGUGGAGUCAAAGCAGCAGUGAGCAAAGAGUAAAACUGGCUUUUGACACUGGUUAUCAUACAUGUUUAGAAGUAUAUUGUUCAUCUGCAGAUUUGAAUGUUGGACAGAUUAAAGGAGGGAUGCCACUGUGCAGAGGGUUUUAUGAGAGUACUAUACUCUCACAAGAAGGAUGUAUUUUUUUUCAAACAGCUAAAUAAAUAUAUGCCUGACCUGACUACCCUUCUGACACUCUCAAAGAAACAUUCAAAUAUGCAUUUAAAGUCAACAACCCAUGACUGAAAGUAGCUUAAAUGGCAGUGAAUUGAUUUUACAUCAAGAGACACUACCAGGUUUUUGUCACCCAACACACUCAGAACACCACUGCACUUGUCAAUAUGGCUUGUAACCUGAAUGAUCAAAUCAAGAAAGGACGGGACUUUGGAUAUCAACUUUGUAAAAAUAUAUUUGUAUGGAGGAGAAACUGACCAGUGGGCCACACGGUGAAGGUUUCCUUUCUCGAGCUGUAGCUGACAACCUCCUCUUCUCCCACUCUGUUUACUGACAGAAAACUGCCGAACUGAAUAUUUCGCUUUUGCCAACAAUUUCUAAAAAGAAAAGACUUGCACCUCUCAGUGUGAAUAUAUUCCAAGCAGAUCAUGGUAAAUGUCACUCAAGAAUUUUAAGGAAAAAGGAUUUUUGACUGAAAGUGCAUUUAUGUAGUUUUGCUUUCCAGCAAAAGGCCGAUGAUGCAGGUCAAGCGGAAAAAUCAGCAAAAAAGAAAUUGAGAGUUUUAGUGCGAGAUGCCUCGAAGCCUGCGUCUUUGAUCCUUGAGCCACUUAGUUGAGUCUUUUCACCAUCCGAAUCCAUGCACUCGCUGCAAUAGAAGAAAAGCAGAGGAGGACAAGGUAAGAUAGACAGGCGUAUUCUCUGUAAUGAGUUGGGUUGAGCCAGAGCCAGACCUGGACCAGACCCACAGCGGCUCGAUCCAGCUAAUUAUGCAAGGCUGCAGACGGGUAUGGCAGACAGAAGGAGAUGGAAAAAGAAUACAGGAGAAUAUGAGAUGAGAAAGAGAGACGGAGGGAAGGUGAAUAUGGACAGAGUGUCAGAAAAAGAGAAAAAAAUAAGGAGAGAGGUAACAAUGAGGGGGAUACACACAAAGGAAAAUAGCAGGGACGCUGCAGAAGGACUGAGGUUUGUCCUUUGGCCGAUGGUCAAUUAGUGGUGGGGAGAGUAGCAGGCCACUGCGAUCUGUGUGUGCGGCUUCUGAGAGCUCUCAGCUUGUUUACUCUUGGACUGAAGGAGACAGCUGGGGCACCUUCAACACUGAGGCUGCACAGCAUCAUUAAGGGAAUAACUAAUGAAGUCAAAGUGAGAUGAAAUGUUUCCUCUAUUGUGGUCAAGAAAACAAAGGAUUUACUCUAAAAUCAGACGCAGUGCUUUAAAAAGGAGACGUUCCUUUGAAAAUAUCAAAGACACACCGACUUUGAAUAAUAACAGCUUCAUAUCACAGUACAGAACACCACUGUGCGUUGUUAAGCCAUCCUUAUUAGGAACGGGAACAUGGGAUAAAGUAGGGAUAUAUGGAAAAUAGUAUCUUUAAUAUUAGUAAUUUUAAGGCAUUAACUAUGUCUUGUAAGACAUAAUUAAUGCCUAGACUGCAUAAAAUUAAAAUGUAUGGAAAAUAGGGUAUUGGUAAAAGACAAAAUGUUGAUAUAAGAAACAAAGAUUAAGGAAAUGUGUCUAAAAGGCAUUUGACCAGUUAAAAGAAGAAAAAAAUAGCACAUCAAUGCAAGUAUGAUAAAGGUGACAAACAAACAGUUGAAGUGAGCCUCUUUCAAACAUGCUUAAAGUUCCUGAAAACUUUUUUAAAUGAUCUGAGUGAGCUACAUGUAGGAUCACAAACAAACAAGAUUCUCCUCUUGACUUCAUCUGCAAAUUUUCCCACCAGCCUGCUUGGUGUAGAAAUGCUACUGUGGUGCAAAUGUUGGGCUUCUACUUAAAGUUUUCAGAUCAUGUAAAGGGAUGAGUGUACUUGACAAAAGUGUGUCAGUACUCUGAGAUUAAACCUUAAUUUAAACCUUCAGGAGAAGUGUAUCUCAGUACACCAAUACCCACUAUUAGAUAAACAAUACAAAAUCACUUUAUGUCACACCACCUUAGUCAACAUCUGCCUCGUCAGAGUAAUCGACAAAACACUCGUGAGUACAAUGUAACUCCUGCAGCCCCUGAACUAUAGAUGGGUUUCUGUGCAACGAAUGUGCGCACAGCCAGGGGGAAGAAAGUGGGACAUUUCUUAGUCAACAGAGAAAGAAAAUGACAAGGAGCUGUUGUGCUGUAAACUGCACGAAUCAGCAAAACAAACAAUUGGCAAACAUCACGACCCUGCUCCUGAUAUUAGAAACAUCUAAAACAACGUCACAACCUGGUAGAGUGAGAUGCAGAUUUGAAGAUAAAGUAGAAGUAAAAGUUGCCCAAAAACCCAUGAUUACAGGCCAAAAGAGUUAAAAGUGAAAGAAAAAUGAUAAUGAAAAUGAUAAAUGUGUGAAAACUUGUGGAUAAACAGCUGUGAGAAAUGACUUAUUUAAUGCUUAAAAGUAGUGAAUAGUUGUUUUAAAUGAAUAAAAGUAAUGUAAAAGGGGUUUAUUAGAUAUAAAGGUUUGGGUCUGGUCUCUUUGUUCACGCUCCUGGGGCCUUUUGUCAAGUACUUUGGAAAAGUAACCCCAUUUCCCCGUUGCACACCGAAUUCCCGUAAAAUGUAAAUAUAAAGUAGGUAAAUGUCAGAGUUUUGGCCAAGUUUCAGACACUUGUUCAGGUUCCAGCGUUUUCUCUUUGAAACUUAAGAGUCAGACAAUGAAGGAGAAGAAGAAGAGAAGCCCCCCAUUUAACUGUUCUACUCCUGCAGGGCCAGUUUACGCGUCCCUGGCCAAUCUCUAUUGAAGGCUGGCUGAUGUGGGCAGACGUACCGUUUGCACCAUGCUCUCCCCAGCAUUCCUCUGUUUGUCUGCACCUCCAAUAAGAACAUGUAGUCUGGCCAUUAUGUGUUUGUGUGUCUGGCUGGCUCGCCGGUUGGCAUGGGCUGGGCGAAAGAUGUGUGGGCAGAAUGCUAACUCGCUUUGAUUGUAAUGUUGAAGUGUGUGCGUGUGAAGGCGUGUGCAGGACUGAAGGACACCAAAGUUGAGGUUAUGAUAUUUCUUCAAUGAUUUCUAUCUACUGCAGAAGAUGAAGAUCUUG
Non-coding RNA from Xyrichtys novacula (pearly razorfish), 7657 nucleotides. The record is from the annotation of a GenBank genome assembly. NCBI's taxonomy places the organism in Eukaryota, Metazoa, Chordata, Actinopteri, Labriformes, Labridae.